GACGAACGCUGGCGGCGUGCUUAACACAUGCAAGUCGAACGAAGAGCGAUGGAAGCUUGCUUCUAUCAAUCUUAGUGGCGAACGGGUGAGUAACGCGUAAUCAACCUGCCCUUCAGAGGGGGACAACAGCUGGAAACGACUGCUAAUACCGCAUACGAUCUAACCUCGGCAUCGAGGAUAGAUGAAAGGUGGCCUCUACAUGUAAGCUAUCACUGAAGGAGGGGAUUGCGUCGGAUUAGCUAGCUGGAGGGGUAACGGCCCACCAAGGCGAUGAUCAGUAGCCGGUCUGAGAGGAUGAACGGCCACAUUGGGACUGAGACACGGCCCAGACUCCUACGGGAGGCAGCAGUGGGGAAUCUUCCGCAAUGGACGAAAGUCUGACGGAGCAACGCCGCGUGAGGGAUGACGGCCUUCGGGUUGUAAAGCUCUGUUAAUCGGGACGAAAGGCCUUCUUGCGAAUAGUUAGAAGGAUUGACGGUACCGGAAUAGAAAGCCACGGCUAACUACGUG
Molecule: ribosomal RNA, 510 nt
Filed under: uncultured bacterium
Lineage: Bacteria
Description: partial 16S ribosomal RNA
Rfam family: Bacterial small subunit ribosomal RNA
Source: RNAcentral